Molecule: ribosomal RNA, 477 nt
Filed under: uncultured Planctomycetales bacterium
Lineage: Bacteria; Pseudomonadati; Planctomycetota; Planctomycetia; Planctomycetales
Description: bacterial SSU rRNA
Rfam family: Bacterial small subunit ribosomal RNA
Source: RNAcentral
UUCGCAAUGCCCGAAAGGGUGACGAAGCGACGCCGCGUGCGGGAAGAAGGCCUUCGGGUUGUAAACCGCUGUCGGGAGUUAAGAAAUGCAAGGGUGUUAACAGCAUCCUUGCUUGACUAAGGCUCCGGAGGAAGCCACGGCUAACUCUGUGCCAGCAGCCGCGGUAAUACAGAGGCGGCAAGCGUUGUUCGGAAUUAUUGGGCGUAAAGAGCACGUAGGCGGCUGUGUAAGUCGGUUGUGAAAGCCUUCCGCUCAACGGGAGAACGGCAUCCGAUACUGCAUGGCUUGAGUGCGGGAGGGGAGAGUGGAACUUCUGGUGGAGCGGUGAAAUGCGUAGAUAUCAGAAGGAACACCGGCGGCGAAGGCGACUCUCUGGCCCGUAACUGACGCUGAGUGUGCGAAAGCUAGGGGAGCAAACGGGAUUAGGUACCCCGGUAGUCCUAGCCGUAAACGAUGGGCACUAAGUAGAGGGGUUUU